AUGCAUCCCAAGCUGAACACAGUCAAGAGAUAGAGCAAGUUACAAUUGAACACAGCCUUCAGUUGCAGAAAGAUCAAGAUCGCAACACUCAUAAGCUGAAGAUACUUGCUGAUCAGCUGGAUUUUGUAAACAUGAAAGGGAGUCCA
Long non-coding RNA from Salvelinus namaycush (lake trout), 146 nucleotides. RefSeq lists it as uncharacterized. Lineage: Eukaryota; Metazoa; Chordata; Actinopteri; Salmoniformes; Salmonidae. The record is from RefSeq and is a predicted model, not a curated record. The transcript is spliced from 5 exons.